UAGGGAAUCUUCCGCAAUGGGCGAAAGCCUGACGGAGCAACGCCGCGUGAGUGAUGAAGGUCUUCGGAUCGUAAAACUCUGUUAUUAGGGAAGAACAAAUGUGUAAGUAACUAUGCACGUCUUGACGGUACCUAAUCAGAAAGCCACGGCUAACUACGUGCCAGCAGCCGCGGUAAUACGUAGGUGGCAAGCGUUAUCCGGAAUUAUUGGGCGUAAAGCGCGCGUAGGCGGUUUUUUAAGUCUGAUGUGAAAGCCCACGGCUCAACCGUGGAGGGUCAUUGGAAACUGGAAAACUUGAGUGCAGAAGAGGAAAGUGGAAUUCCAUGUGUAGCGGUGAAUUGCGCAGAGAUAUGGAGGAACACCAGUGGCGAAGGCGACUUUCUGGUCUGUAACUGACGCUGAUGUGCGAAAGCGUGGGGAUCAAACAGG
RNAcentral lists this ribosomal RNA (429 nucleotides) under Actinomycetes bacterium. RNAcentral describes it as "Actinobacteria bacterium partial 16S ribosomal RNA". It matches the Rfam family "Bacterial small subunit ribosomal RNA", at positions 355 to 776 of the family's 1533-position model. RNAcentral also lists the same sequence under 1 other name. The record is from RNAcentral. Lineage: Bacteria; Bacillati; Actinomycetota; Actinomycetes.